GUGAAGAGGGAAACAACCCAGACCGCCAGCUAAGGUCCCAAAGUCACAGUUAAGUGGGAAACGAUGUGGGAAGGCACAGACAGCCAGGAUGUUGGCUUAGAAGCAGCCAUCAUUUAAAGAAAGCGUAAUAGCUCACUGGUCGAGUCGGCCUGCGCGGAAGAUGUAACGGGGCUAAACUGUGCACCGAAGCUGCGGCAGCGACACUAUGUGUUGUUGGGUAGGGGAGCGUUCUGUAAGCCUGCGAAGGUGGCCUGUGAGGGUUGCUGGAGGUAUCAGAAGUGCGAAUGCUGACAUAAGUAACGAUAAUGCGGGUGAAAAGCCCGCACGCCGGAAGACCAAGGGUUCCUGUCCAACGUUAAUCGGGGCAGGGUGAGUCGACCCCUAAGGCGAGGCCGAAAGGCGUAGUCGAUGGGAAACAGGUUAAUAUUCCUGUACUUGGUGUUACUGCGAAGGGGGGACGGAGAAGGCUAUGUUAGCCGGGCGACGGUUGUCCCGGUUUAAGCAUGUAGGCGGAGGUUC
This 519-nucleotide ribosomal RNA is filed under the name Klebsiella aerogenes. RNAcentral describes it as "partial 23S ribosomal RNA". It matches the Rfam family "Bacterial large subunit ribosomal RNA", at positions 1010 to 1533 of the family's 2925-position model. Lineage: Bacteria; Pseudomonadati; Pseudomonadota; Gammaproteobacteria; Enterobacterales; Enterobacteriaceae. The record is from RNAcentral.